Molecule: long non-coding RNA, 320 nt
Organism: Xiphophorus couchianus (Monterrey platyfish)
Lineage: Eukaryota; Metazoa; Chordata; Actinopteri; Cyprinodontiformes; Poeciliidae
Exons: 2
Source: RefSeq, a predicted model, not a curated record
UGUGCGAACAGAUGUUUUCAAUAAUGAAUUUAAACAAGACCAAGACCAGAUCGCGCAUUACUGACGAAAACCUACACGCCAUUUUGCGCACAGCACAAGAACUAAAACCGGACAUGGACGAACUGACCAGGGGAAAACGGUGCCAGACAUCCGGCCAGAAAACAUUGAACACAACACAAUGAGGAUGUGUGUGAGUUGGUGACAGGGUGAAGAGGGAUCCGCUUUGUGUUCAAGGACCGGAAACAUCUCCUCAUAGUUUUGUUCUUAUGUGAAAUACAUGUUUGUUGUGUAAUAAAUAACGAACAAGUUUUGUGAAUGAA